CUUUAUUUAUUUCUGCAGGUAAGCACCAUACCGUAAGCUUCAUUCCCUUUAUAACAGGUAAGGUUCAUACUGUUUUAUUCUUUUAUACUGUUUUAUUUUAAAUCAUUCAGUAAAUGCAAAGUUAAACCGAUGGUGUUUUUAAUCUAGAUUUAAAAGUGCCUACUGUUGAAACACAUCUGAUCUCAUCUGAAAGCUGAUUCCAGCUAUACAGGUUUAAAAGUGCCCACUGUUAAAACACAUCUGAUCUCAUUUGAAAGCUGAUUCCAGCUACAGAUCUAAAAGUGUCUUCUGUUGAAACACAUCUGAUCUCUUCUGAAAGCUGAUUCCAGCUACAGGUU
This is a non-coding RNA of Misgurnus anguillicaudatus (oriental weatherfish), 338 nucleotides long. NCBI's taxonomy places the organism in Eukaryota, Metazoa, Chordata, Actinopteri, Cypriniformes, Cobitidae. The record is from RefSeq and is a predicted model, not a curated record.